RNAcentral lists this ribosomal RNA (253 nucleotides) under uncultured bacterium. Its description in RNAcentral is "partial 16S ribosomal RNA". It matches the Rfam family "Bacterial small subunit ribosomal RNA", at positions 524 to 776 of the family's 1533-position model. The record is from RNAcentral.
UACGUAGGGUGCAAGCGUUAAUCGGAAUUACUGGGCGUAAAGCGUGCGCAGGCGGUUAUGCAAGACAGAUGGGAAAUCCCCGGGCUCAACCUGGGAACUGCAUUUGUGACUGCAUAGCUAGAGUACGGUAGAGGGGGAUGGAAUUCCGCGUGUAGCAGUGAAAUGCGUAGAUAUGCGGAGGAACACCGAUGGCGAAGGCAAUCCCCUGGGCCUGCACUGACGCUCAUGCACGAAAGCGUGGGGAGCAAACAGG